UUACUUCACUACCUCUGCCUCGUCUUACUCUCUCUAACUCUCCCUCCUCUACGUCUUAUCUGAUCACAUUAUAUUCACGAAAGUACAUACUUAAACUUUUNCUCCUUUUCAUAUGGGAGAGCCUGUUUGCCCCUGACUGCCACCGCCUCCCCCCCCCACUUUUGUCUCACGGGUCACAAAAAUGCGAACACGACCACCCUGUAUCUUACACAACACUAAAUGAAUUAGAUACGGCGCUUCCCGGCAAAAUUACACCUUAUUCGAUCAUAUAUCUCACUGUUUACAGUCAAGCAUCAAGAGGAGGAGGAGAGGGACUUAUAAGUAUAUAGUAAGAGGUACGUUUCUAAACAAANGCAACACACAGAAUAAUUUAUCACAUUACUAAUCUAUAUCUAUUACUCUCUUGUUUUCUCGUUGGAUUGGCUUCGUUGCCCCCCGGUCUUGUAUAUAUAUAUAUAUUCUUGUACCACACAUAAUAAUACAAACAUAAUCUAUCAUCUAGUGACACACGCGAGGUCGCUGUGGGGUUACUCUCCUCGGGAGUUUUACUACAUCAAAAGAACAUACUCAUCUAUAAUCACCUCCCGUAUAAAUUUU
This 597-nucleotide ribosomal RNA is filed under the name uncultured bacterium. Its description in RNAcentral is "partial 16S ribosomal RNA". The record is from RNAcentral.